UGCUUGUUCUACAUUAUUGAAUUCGAAACGGUGAUGGUCUGUGUCACGUUUCGAAUUCGAUUAUGUGGAGCCAACC
Molecule: microRNA precursor, 76 nt
Filed under: Branchiostoma floridae (Florida lancelet)
Lineage: Eukaryota; Metazoa; Chordata; Leptocardii; Amphioxiformes; Branchiostomatidae
Description: microRNA bfl-mir-4858 precursor
Source: miRBase by way of RNAcentral